UUGAACAACUCUCAGCAACGGAUAUCUCGGCUCUUGCAUCGAUGAAGAACGCAGCGAAAUGCGAUAAGUGGUGUGAAUUGCAGGAUCCCGUGAACCAUCGAGUCUUUGAACGCAAGUUGCGCCCAAGGCCAUCAGGCCAAGGGCACGCCUGCCUGGGCAUUGCGA
RNAcentral lists this ribosomal RNA (165 nucleotides) under Paphiopedilum malipoense. Its description in RNAcentral is "5.8S ribosomal RNA". It matches the Rfam family "5.8S ribosomal RNA". Rfam says of the family: 5.8S ribosomal RNA (5.8S rRNA) is a component of the large subunit of the eukaryotic ribosome. It is transcribed by RNA polymerase I as part of the 45S precursor that also contains 18S and 28S rRNA. Functionally, it is thought that 5.8S rRNA may be involved in ribosome translocation. The record is from RNAcentral. Lineage: Eukaryota; Viridiplantae; Streptophyta; Magnoliopsida; Asparagales; Orchidaceae.